This 371-nucleotide RNase P RNA is filed under the name Paulownia witches'-broom phytoplasma. RNAcentral's name for it is "RNase P RNA component class B". It matches the Rfam family "Bacterial RNase P class B". From Rfam's summary of the family: Ribonuclease P (RNase P) is a ubiquitous endoribonuclease, found in archaea, bacteria and eukarya as well as chloroplasts and mitochondria. Its best characterised activity is the generation of mature 5'-ends of tRNAs by cleaving the 5'-leader elements of precursor-tRNAs. Cellular RNase Ps are ribonucleoproteins. The record is from RNAcentral. Lineage: Bacteria; Bacillati; Mycoplasmatota; Mollicutes; Acholeplasmatales; Acholeplasmataceae.
AAUGGAAGUGGCUGAGGUUUAAAAUAAGUAUUUUAAGCUUAGGAAAGUCCAUGUUAGCACAUGCUGCGAUUGCAUGUAGUGUUUGUGUCUAAGGAAUUAAUAACUUAGAGUACUGUAAAAAGUAACGGCGUUUUUAGCUCUAAGGAUUGCAAUAAUUACAUUAUUUUAAUCUAUGAGAUAAAAACUGAAAGUGUCACAGAGACGAGUUAAUUAGAAAUAAUUAAGUGAAACGCGAUAAACCCCUCAAGCUAACAACCCAAAAUAAUGGUAGGGGCAUGCAAAGCGAUUAAAUGAAAUUAGUUUUGCACUACUUGUUAGUAGAAGAUAAAUAGCCACACUUGUUUAACAAGAACAGAACAUGGCUUAUGCAC